Molecule: long non-coding RNA, 706 nt
Filed under: Heterocephalus glaber (naked mole-rat)
Lineage: Eukaryota; Metazoa; Chordata; Mammalia; Rodentia; Bathyergidae
Description: lncRNA (ENSHGLG00100044368.1)
Source: RNAcentral
GGUCUCAGACCCCGGCCCUGCUGCGUCCCCACCCUUUGGUCACCGGCACUCUGAGCGCAGGGCCCCGGCCGCAGAGGCCGCAGAGGCUGCAGAGGCUUACGGAAGGGCUGGCCCUGCUGUGCACACGGCCCGGUGGUCAGGCUGGGGGACCUGGACUAGCCAGAUCAGGACGGGACAGGACUGGACAGGACAGGGUGCGGGGACCUGAAUGGGACUGGACAGGACCGGACAGGUUCUCUCUCCACUUUGGCUGUCUCCCACGAGCACGCGCAGACUGCAGGGCCCAGGCUCGCCUCUCCCGGUGCUCGCAGUGACCAGGAGCGGUCCAGAGAAGCAAGGAAACUUGUCAAGGGUAUCAUAAGGAUCCUGGAGAUGACCGAACAUAUGUGGGUGGUGUGCACAGGUCACACGAGAACCUCGUGUCACUUUAUGUGAAGGAUGUGAGGACCUGUGGGUCCUUGGGGCCCUGGAGCUGAUCCCUCAUGGAUCCUAAGGAACAACUACGUAUGCACUCAGGAUCUUGCUAUGUUUUCCAGGCUUAUUUUGGCUUCAAGCGAAUCCUCCUCCUGAGUAGCUGGACUGCAGGUGUACUCUGCCCCACCUGUCUGGGAUAACACAUAACCCCACUCUUUGCGGAUUGAACCCAGGGCCUAUAAACUAUGAGCUCAUCUACAGCUCUUUUGAUAAAUUUUAAUUUUGACACAGG